UACGUAGGGUGCGAGCGUUGUCCGGAAUUAUUGGGCGUAAAGAGCGUGUAGGCGGCCAUACAGGUCAGCUGUGAAAACUCGAGGCUCAACCUCGAGACGUCGGUUGAAACCGUAUGGCUAGAGUCCGGAAGAGGAGAGUGGAAUUCCCGGUGUAGCGGUGAAAUGCGCAGAUAUCGGGAAGAACACCCGUGGCGAAAGCGGCUCACUGGACCAUUACUGACGCUGAGGCUCGAAAGCUAGGGGAGCAAACAGG
RNAcentral lists this ribosomal RNA (253 nucleotides) under uncultured bacterium. RNAcentral's name for it is "partial 16S ribosomal RNA". It matches the Rfam family "Bacterial small subunit ribosomal RNA", at positions 524 to 776 of the family's 1533-position model. The record is from RNAcentral.